Molecule: ribosomal RNA, 433 nt
Filed under: uncultured bacterium
Lineage: Bacteria
Description: bacterial SSU rRNA
Rfam family: Bacterial small subunit ribosomal RNA
Source: RNAcentral
AACGCGAAGAACCUUACCUACCCUUGACAUACAGAGAACUUUCUAGAGAUAGAUUGGUGCCUUCGGGAACUCUGAUACAGGUGCUGCAUGGCUGUCGUCAGCUCGUGUCGUGAGAUGUUGGGUUAAGUCCCGUAACGAGCGCAACCCUUAUCCUUAGUUGCUACCAUUUAGUUGGGCACUCUAAGGAGACUGCCGGUGAUAAACCGGAGGAGGGUGGGGACGACGUCAAGUCAUCAUGGCCCUUAUGGGUAGGGCUACACACGUGCUACAAUGGCCGGUACAGAGGGCCGCAAACUCGCGAGAGUAAGCUAAUCCCUUAAAGCCGGUCCUAGUCCGGAUUGCAGUCUGCAACUCGACUGCAUGAAGCUGGAAUCGCUAGUAAUCGCGGAUCAGAAUGCCGCGGUGAAUUCGUUCCCGGGUCUUGUACACACCG